AUAUAGAUGUUCCAGACCAUAUAAGUAUUUGGACCGUACGCGUACGGUCCGGACCGUAUACGUAUACUCGUACGGUCCGACCAUGCGCGUACGGUCGGACCGUAUGAGUAUACGCGUAUGGUCCAGAACGAGCUGACCAUACAUGCUAUUGGUUAUUGGUUAUUGGAUCACAUGGGUUAAAUUUAAACAAACAUUUAUCACAAUCUUUAUUCUUAUUUUUACAAAUUGUUAUUAUUACAAUUAGAUGGAUAGAAUGAACAAACGAACAAUUGAAGUUAAAUAUUUGUUUAAUUGUAUAUCUGAAUCCUAUUUUGGCACUCUCGCCCAAGGUGACACUUGCUACGACAAGUAACGUAAUACAUUUACAUGUUUGCAGUUCAUGCAUACUCCUUAUUCUUUUGUAAAGUUGCUAAAUAUUCUAAAACAAUUGUCCUCCCACAUUAUGUUUACUUCCGAAAUCUUCAAUUUCAGUGAUCAUAAUUCAAUUAAUGAUCAUUAAUGUAUUACUGAUCGACAUGCUAAAUACAAGAGAUAAACAGAUUUAAUUAGCCGGUGAAUUUUUUAAAUUGUUAGAAUAUAAAGUGUUUAUCUCAAUUAUAAUUCAAUUUGUAUCUAAUAAACUUGACCUACUUCUUAAUAUUAGUCAGACCGUAUGAGUA
Molecule: long non-coding RNA, 659 nt
Filed under: Mytilus galloprovincialis (Mediterranean mussel)
Lineage: Eukaryota; Metazoa; Mollusca; Bivalvia; Mytilida; Mytilidae
Source: RNAcentral